GCUAGAAAAAGAAAGAGUUUGAAGAGAGAUAUUGAAAGCCGUGACCCGGUAGAAUGUUUCUUAAGGAAUAGUACUUCUUUAGUGUUGCUCGAUCAGCAUACUCGACAAUUUUACGUCCGCGAGAUGACGUGUAUUACGUAAAAAAUACGGUAUUGUCGCGUGUGAGGAAAUAGCUUUUGGAUUAUGCAAUUUCUUCGAACACGCUACUUUCGCGAAAAGAAGAUUAUCCCUAUUGCGAAGUAAGGAUAUAAGCUCGAACCUAAAGCGUGGCUUCGAAAUAAAGAUCAGCAAAGUUUAAACGAGACAAGAGAAUUAUUUCGAGAAAUGUACUCGUUGCAAAAAUAGAAAGACAUACUAAAAAUUUAAACGAGAUAAAAGAAUCAUUUUGAAAAAUGUACUCGUUACAAAAAAUAGAAAGACACGUUAAAAAUUAUGUAAAAGAAAAAAAACAGAUUUGAUUUAGAGUUGUGAAAUGAUGCUGCCAAAAUAAAAAGAAUUGUGUUAAAGAAGCUUAAAGCACUACGUCAUACGUUUCUCUAAUUAGAAAACGCGGCCGCACAUAACAAGCGUAAUAACAUUUAUCCAGACGACUUUGAAGCGACGUUCUCUUGGCAAACAAUGUUUACCAAGGACCACGUAGUUCCGCGGAGGAUUGAUAACGUGAUUAAAGCUGCGGAGUUAUUCGGGAAUCAUAUUAUUCAAAGCAAUUAUCCGCGCGCCCUAAGGUUCAUGCAAGACGAUAUAAAUUUGGAGAAGAAUGUCUGAUGUUACAAAAUAGCGCUACAGAAGAUUUAACGUUAUCAAGAUAGUGAACAUAUUUUGGGAUCGCAAUAUUCUCUCUUCGGCCACGGGAUAAAAGCUUAUCGUUCGGUACACAACGUGAAAUGCAUCAGCAAGAAGAUUUGCACGAAUCCGAUGCACUACCGUAAACAUAUUAGAUCGGAUGAGGUGCAGCAACAAACCGCAAAUACCCGGCGAUCGAAACGAAAAUUUGACAUGGCACUGGCAAACCCGUCGAGUAAAUGUCAGCCUUGAUUUCCGUUCGUUCUUUUUGUUAAUUACAAUUCGAUGCAUCUCGCUUUUGCAAACGUUUCAUCGUGUACAGGUUACAUA
This is a long non-coding RNA of Pogonomyrmex barbatus (red harvester ant), 1113 nucleotides long. RefSeq lists it as uncharacterized. NCBI's taxonomy places the organism in Eukaryota, Metazoa, Arthropoda, Insecta, Hymenoptera, Formicidae. The record is from RefSeq and is a predicted model, not a curated record.